This is a long non-coding RNA of Ornithodoros turicata, 3243 nucleotides long. RefSeq lists it as uncharacterized. Lineage: Eukaryota; Metazoa; Arthropoda; Arachnida; Ixodida; Argasidae. The transcript has 3 exons. The record is from RefSeq and is a predicted model, not a curated record.
AGCACACUACUAAUAGCGAAUUCGGGUGGUCAUUUCGUAGCAAAACGGCCGAGCGCUCGGAAAUUGCUAGGUCGGCGACCGAGCUGGAUCACGUGACCGUUGCCACCCGAACAUGAUUGCUAGGAAUCUAGCGGUUUUAGGUACUUGGAUCACGCUAGGGGCGUCGCGGUCGCAAGUCUUCGCGUUCUGUCGUCUGCUAAACCACGUGAUUUCAACAUGCGGGCCAAUGAGGGCACUCGCCACCGUUGCAGUGCGGAUGUGACGACACCGGAUACAGUUGAGCAAUCUGCUGCUCGAUCGUUUUGAGACCGGGCAAAAAAAGUGCUAGCUAGCAAAUUCCGAGCGCUCGGAAAGCGCCACGCGAACAUGGAAGAUUUGCUUCCUUUUGACCAAGCGAACAUGACUGCUCGAGAUCUCGCAAAAAAAGUUGCUCCGAAAUGACCACCCGAAUUCGCCAUAAGACAGGCAAUCUACGAAAGCAUUACUCACCAGAAUUCCUGCUUGACUUGGUCUUGGUCAACACUGCGCGAUAUACGUUGGGGCUGUGGCGAUUCAUUCAACUCGAUUUUUACCGGAACAACAGGCGCUGCUCGAAAGACAACGACGGAAAAUAGAGAGCCGCUAUAAAGUCCGCUAAUUUGCACAUUACAGCACUACAAAGCGAUAUAUGAACACAUCGUAAACAGCAACCACUCGCUCACACACACAAGAAACGAGGUACCCAACGCAGGGGCGCGAAGCUGUAGUAGAAAUCUAUUGUAGCUGAAAACUCACGUGACCUCCGGAGCUCGACCAAUGACUGAGGACUAGCCACCCUAUUUUGUUUUCUUUUUUGAUUAUGUCGCGAAUGACGUAAAUGACGUGUCAUCCGUUUCUCUCUUACUACUUUCCCCCUCUCUGCUCUGCUUCCCGUCUUCUUUUGUUGUUCCUUUUUUUUCUUCCGUGCACUGUUUUUUUGGUUCGCGUUUGUCGGAAUGCAGUGGCAGUUACAGGAAUACGACGGAGCCUUGGUUGUUUUUGUCACAUGCAGUAUUUUAUUGUGCGACAUACGGUUACGCAAGCAAGACGUACAGAGGAUGACAUUAAUAUUGCUCCAGAAUUUGCUUGAAGAAGCCUGACAAUGUCGGACUGCCUCUGGCAAGGACUGCUACUGGGAACUGGAGCUCAGUGACUGCAAGAUGAAAAAAAUUGGUAUCAGAUAUACGGUUAGGCAUGUGAUAGUUACAAUGUAAAUAGAAAGAACAAAGGUGCUAUUGAACGCGAAAAAUAAGAACUGUGGUAGGGUUGUGAGAAGCUCGGAGCCAUGGGGUGUGAUGAGCGACCUUAGUACAAAAAAUACGUUUUAUUGCGCUACUUCACAGUGAUAUAUUCAGACCGAUUAGCCUGACAAUCUUGGCUUUGGCGCUAGGUACAGAACAGCUACUAAGUCAACGCGUCUGACGAAACUUGUCGAGCGAAAUCACCAAGAAUCAGACUUACAGUAGCGUCAUACCUUUAUACAGUACGACGUGAACGGGUAUUUAAUCAUAACAUUUAGAUGAUAUUGUUUCACGAAAAGAAAUAUAGUCUACCAUCGUAUCUGCAAAGCUACGCUGUCUGUCUCGGUCACCGCGUAUUCCGGUAACUGUUAAGCAACUUAUUCACAAUACACGAAGUGAAUGCGGUGUUGUAAGGCAACAAGCAACGACAAAUGACUUACCUCUCGGCAGUUGUUGACCAGGUAUCGGGUACGAGGCGUUCGGGCUCUCGAACAGUUUCUACACCAAGAAGCAGAGCACAAAUGUUGCGCAGGCAUCUUCCCUGGCAGCUGUGACUGUUCGAGGACACUCACAUGAUACAGCUUGCGUUUUUAAACAGGAAUAAUCAGAACUCAUAGUCCAACACAACCGCUACACAGCACGAACCGUCCGAAACGGACGCCGGUGACUCCGUGGACACCGGUUCCGGUUCCAACCGGCACAGCCGCCGUGCUGUCGCCUAUUCGAGCGCUCGCGAACAAAUUUGAAAACGGCCAAUCAUCGCUCAGAAAACGAAUUCAUCCUCAUGGGAACCAAUCAGUAAUCACUAGCCACCGGAUGUCUCCAUGACGUUAAAUUUAUGACGUUUUCUGACGUCCGAUGACGUGAAACGCAUGAAGCGCCUCACUUUAUCCCGCAAAGGAACUGGCGAGUUUCGGGCCCUUGCCCAACGUUGCUAGACACCAUCCGAACUCCGAAGUGAGAGUAGCAAAACAACAAGAUAUCAAAACACGAAAGGAAGAGUAUUGAUCCCCCCUCCUUCUAUAGAAUGCAAAACGUGAUUUGCGCUGAGAUGAACAUAUAUGUUCAUGACGCGAGUAAUUUUCACUUUUCACUGAUCCAAAGGAGGUCACGUGGGAUUGCUCGACGCUUGCGAAAUCAACAAUGAAAAUGGCGAAACGAAACUUGUGAAUCGUGCAUUUGCUCUUCAUGGUAGCUGCCAAAAAAUCGAAUCAAACUUAUGGGACACUGGAUUACAGGUUGCUGCCACUACUCCAUGUGCCCGCAAUUGUCUUGCGUGUAUGAUUACACUAACGGCGUCGCCCACCACGGCGGAAGUGUUUUGCGUACACGCGUUUCAGCAUGAAGCCUGCAGGUGGACGUAAAUUGUAGAAGGCAGCUAGUGGGGGAGAAGAUCAUGGUCAUAGGUCAUGUGACUCCUGGAGCUCCCAGUGGGCUCCCUUGUGGAGUACUUUUCAGAACACACACACACACACACAGUUUGCUCACAGAACCAACGAGUAGGAUGUUGCUUGAAUACUGAGAGAAAAUGGCGUAACACAUACAAAUAUCGUGUGACACAUAUGACAAUAAAAACAUUUUUCACGAGGGAUGCAUGAAACACUGUCGCAAUAUUGUGUGCAUGAACCAUUGUGUGUGACACAAGCCGUGGGGGCACACCGCCUCGGACACAUUUUGGGAAGCAUAAAACACAGUAUAUACAGAGCUACUAUGGUGGAUGCUUCUUUUUUCCUUUUUGGCCGUUAUGAGACAUCUUCGGCCGUAUUGAGACUUCGGCCGUAACGAGACACUUGGGGAUUAAAGGAUUUUCGGCCGUAAUGAGACUUUCGGCUGUAAUGAGACUUCGGCCGUAAUGAGACUCGGGCCGUAAUGAGAUGUUACCGAGCAAUAACAAAAGUGCUCUCCAUGUCUUUCACAGAAAGCUGACCCCCUCCUGUGUUGAAUGGUGCCCCCCCCCCCCCACCCCCCCAUGACAAGCACAGCU